GCGUGGUGACCUUUAAAUCCGUCCCUGCUACUUCUGCACUGUAUUUCUUACCCACUGCUGCUUCACCAAAGCCACUGGGCCAUGUUCAGCACAGCACAGUUCUGGAAGAGUCUGUUAUACUGGGAGCUUAAAGGAAAAGUAGUAGAAGAGGAGGAGUUCAUCAGAGCAGCCCAUCAGUCCCAUUCACUGCAGAGAAGAAAGAGUUGAGAACUUCAGUUUCAAGAGACACUGUUGCGCAUUGAUCUCUGUGGGCACGCUCUGCUAACUGCCAAGAGGUUCACACUUCAAAUCAAUUGGAGCAAAUCUCAAGCUAUAUGACACUGAAAACAGUCCUCUUUCUUUCAAAAAAACCUACGCCAAACAUCCUGAUCUUCUGUGAAAGCAACAAAACUGUAGAUGGACAAAUCUGCUUAUUUCCAGGUAGAAAUGCAUCUCGGUAUUUUAUUUUGGCUCUGGGGUGAAUAGCUGCAAUAUCUACAUAAGAAAGAAAUGUUGUCACGUGGUCUGCCACAUAUCAAAUGCAGCUGUAGAACUCACAGAUUACAAGAGUACA
Molecule: long non-coding RNA, 553 nt
Organism: Lagopus leucura (white-tailed ptarmigan)
Lineage: Eukaryota; Metazoa; Chordata; Aves; Galliformes; Phasianidae
Exons: 4
Source: RefSeq, a predicted model, not a curated record